UCGUAACAAGGUUUCCGUAGGUGAACCUGCGGAAGGAUCAUUAUCGUACAAAAUGUGAGAGGGGCAUGCGAGGGCUGUCGCUGACUCAAAGUCGUGCACGCCCGAGUGUGUCGCCUCACAUAAUAAUCCAUCUCACCCUUUGUGCAUCACCGCGUGGGCACCCCUUUGGGAUCAUCUCGGAGGGGGCUCGCGUUUUCACACAAAACCCCCCUUUUAAAAGUGUAGAAUGACCUCAUUUAUGCGCUAACCCGCAAUCAAUACAACUUUCAACAACGGAUCUCUUGGCUCUCGCAUCGAUGAAGAACGCAGCGAAAUGCGAUACGUAAUGUGAAUUGCAGAAUUCAGUGAAUCAUCGAAUCUUUGAACGCACCUUGCGCCCCCUGGUAUUCCGAGGGGCACACCCGUUUGAGUGUCGUGAAAACCUCAACCUCCUUGGUUUCUUCUGGAGACCAAAGCAGGCUUGGACUUNUGGAGGCCUUUGCUGGCACCUCUCGCCAGCUCCUCUUAAAUGAAUUAGCAGGGUCCUCUUUGCUGAUCCUCGACGUGUGAUAAGAUGUUUCCAUGUCUUGGUUUCUGGCUCUGUCACCUUUGGGACCCGCUUCUAACCGUCUUCAACCUUGCGUUGAGACAACGUUCGAGCAUGUCUCCCUUCUCGGGAAGCUCCCUCGACCCCACGAACCCUUGACCUCAAAUCGGGUGAGACUACCCGCUGAACUUAAGCAUAUCAAUAAGCGGAGGAAAAGAAACUAACAAGGAUUCCCCUAGUAACUGCGAGUGAAGC
This 781-nucleotide ribosomal RNA is filed under the name Lactarius rufus. Its description in RNAcentral is "eukaryotic LSU rRNA". The stretch from base 262 to 415 matches the Rfam family "5.8S ribosomal RNA". Lineage: Eukaryota; Fungi; Basidiomycota; Agaricomycetes; Russulales; Russulaceae. The record is from RNAcentral.